CAAACGAAGAUCGUUUAUACACAAAAUUGAAGCAACAAAUACAACGCCAUGCACCUACGCUUCUAUAGUAUUUUAUUAUUUUAAAAUAUGAACAUUUUUCUAAAGGAUUCAAAAGAAAGUGACGAUACUUUAUUGGACGAGGAUCUUGGAGAUGAUGAAUAUGAUCUAGGCAAUGAUGAAGAAGAAGCUCUUUUAGCAGAUGACUAUGAACCGGAGAGGCAGAAUAGCUAUAAGGGAGAAGAGGAGACAGAUGAUGUACUGGACUUAGGAGUUACCGACGGACUCGACGACUUAGAUGGCGAAGAUGAAAAUAUAGAAUUUAGUAGAAGCAAAACCGAUAGACGCGAUGAUAAUGAUUUUUACGAGGACGAAGAUCAGCUACAGGUUCAAUCAAAAUAUUAUGAGCAAGAUGAAAUUAACGAAUACAAAAGCGAACAAGCGCGUCAACACGAUGAACAUUCUACGGUGGAUAGCGUUAAUGUUUCAAGUAACAUUGGAAAGGGGGAUUUGCGAGAGAAGUUGCAAAAGAAUGCAAAAAUCUAUGCUGGAAAUGGACAAGGUUUGGAAGACGAUGAAUGCGAAGAAGCCAAGGAAAGACGGAAUAGAUUUCAAAAUGAAAGAACCAUAGUUUCUCCAAAAAUGAACAGUAACAUACCAGAAACUUUAGAAAACGUGGUAACAUCCGAACGUUCGUUCAGAGGCCGAGGAAGAGGUCGAAGCACAAGAGGAAGUCGGGGUGGAAGAUUUAACACACAGAAUUCCGGAAAUUUUAAUCUAAGGUUUAAUAAUGCACGUAGCACAAACUUUGAUGGUCAGCCAGCAGUAUGCAGACCUCCACUGUUUGAAACGAGACCGCCAUUUCUUCUUGGAGUAGCGAACAACAUGCAGAAUCAACAGAUUAUUUAUCAGCAACCAAAUUCUCAAGUACAAUCUUUCCAACACUAUUCUACGAAUGGUCCACUUCCUCCAGGUCCAGCACACUUUGUAGACAACAGACCACAAUUGAAUCCUAAUCAAUUUCAAGGUCAAGUAGGUCCUAGAGUAGUCGGGCCGAGGUUAGAUUAUGGACCUCGUGGUGGUUUGGCAGGAUCGCUGCAAGGGCCAGGACCAUCUUAUAAUCAUCCUUCUAAUCAACCACCAUACGUCCAAAUUCAACCAGGACCGUUUCAAAACUCGAGCGUGCUUAUACAAGAUAAUCAACCGCGACUGAUGCAAAAUAAUCAAGGUUCCUUGUUGCAAGGAAAUGCUGGAGGAUCGCUUCUUGGAAAUCUUAAUUCAGUGGUACCUGGUACAUCGGCACCAUUGUUACAAGGUGGAAAUCAGCCAUUACCGAUGCAAGGAUUCCCACGACAAACUUCUACCCAAGGACCACCACCACUUAUCAAUCAUCAAAACGUGCAAAUAUCAAAUCAAUCAUCGUUUGAAAAUAGAGCGCCAUUUCAAGAACCUACGUUUGAAAAUCGAUCCGUUUACGAUUCAAGACCCGGCUAUUCUGAUCAAGUACCUACUAGCCAAUUUAAUACUAAUACGUUACCUGUACCUCAACAGUCCGCUUCCAAUGUACCCAAUGUACCUUUACCUCCAGGGCACAAGAUUUUAAUCAAUCCUCAUUUUCGAGGAUCUGUUCAGUCAACAAACGAUGUGUGCAGCAAGACUCAUAUGGGAUUCCACCCAACAACAACAACAAUCGUCUUUGUCGUCUCAAAUUCCUGGUAGUCAAUUUCCGCAAUCCGUUAUCCCUUAUCAGAAUCAAAGUUCGUAUAAUCAGACUCAACAAGGAUCAUCGCAGUAUCAACAAAAUUAUCAACAAAAUAAGAACGAUGACCCAUAUGCGUACUUUUCGGAUGUGUGGCAAGAAAACAAAC
RNAcentral lists this unclassified non-coding RNA (1865 nucleotides) under Megachile rotundata (alfalfa leafcutting bee). RNAcentral describes it as "dEAD-box helicase Dbp80, transcript variant X7". The record is from RNAcentral. Lineage: Eukaryota; Metazoa; Arthropoda; Insecta; Hymenoptera; Megachilidae.